RNAcentral lists this transfer-messenger RNA (352 nucleotides) under Elusimicrobiales. RNAcentral's name for it is "JAHJSU01 sp016208085 Standard tmRNA". It matches the Rfam family "transfer-messenger RNA". From Rfam's summary of the family: Bacterial tmRNA, also known as 10Sa RNA or SsrA, is named for its dual tRNA and mRNA-like properties. Lineage: Bacteria; Pseudomonadati; Elusimicrobiota; Elusimicrobia. RNAcentral also lists the same sequence under 1 other name. The record is from RNAcentral.
GGGGGUGAAUAGGUUCGACGUUGACUGGUUCUGCAGGAUCAGCAGGCCAUGGUUGACCAGGCCAUGUAAAACAGGGUCAAAAACAAAAAAGCCAACUCCAACGAGCUGGCCUGGGCGCACGCCUAAGUGCGCCUCGCUUGCAGCCUGUCCGCCUGAGCGGGCUGUAAAGCGUUAAAUUCGGGCUGCUGUCGUCAGGGGCGCGCUUCGUCCCGUGCCGGCAAAAGAUAAUACGGAGCUAGUCCGGUUCUUGCGGCCCCGGGUUCAGGCCGGACGAAACACAGUCGGGGCUAAGCCUGUAGCGGUUCCUGCAAGCCGUUGACGGACGCGAGUGCAAAUCUCGCCACCUCCAUAA